RNAcentral lists this ribosomal RNA (253 nucleotides) under uncultured bacterium. RNAcentral's name for it is "partial 16S ribosomal RNA". It matches the Rfam family "Archaeal small subunit ribosomal RNA", at positions 474 to 727 of the family's 1478-position model. The record is from RNAcentral.
UACCAGCACCCCGAGUGGUCGGGACGAUUAUUGGGCCUAAAGCAUCCGUAGCCGGUCAUGCAAGUCUUCCGUUAAAUCCAGCCGCUCAACGGUUGGGCUGCGGAGGAAACUACGUGGCUAGGAGGCGGGAGAGGCAAGCGGUACUCAGUGGGUAGGGGUAAAAUCCUUUGAUCCAUUGAAGACCACCAGUGGCGAAGGCGGCUUGCCAGAACGCGCUCGACGGUGAGGGAUGAAAGCUGGGGGAGCAAACCGG